Molecule: microRNA, 23 nt
Filed under: Bos taurus (domestic cattle)
Lineage: Eukaryota; Metazoa; Chordata; Mammalia; Artiodactyla; Bovidae
Description: bta-miR-12008
Source: miRBase by way of RNAcentral
CUUUAACUCUUCAUCCUUUUGGG